Molecule: small nuclear RNA, 107 nt
Filed under: Phascolarctos cinereus (koala)
Lineage: Eukaryota; Metazoa; Chordata; Mammalia; Diprotodontia; Phascolarctidae
Source: RNAcentral
CUAUUCAAUUCAGCAACAUAUUCACUAAAAUUAAAACAAUACGGAGAAGAUUAACACGGUCCCUCAGCAAAGAUGAGCUGCAAAUUUGUAAAUCAUUCAUAUUUUUA